Gadus macrocephalus (Pacific cod) is the source of this 1239-nucleotide long non-coding RNA. RefSeq lists it as uncharacterized. The transcript is spliced from 9 exons. NCBI's taxonomy places the organism in Eukaryota, Metazoa, Chordata, Actinopteri, Gadiformes, Gadidae. The record is from RefSeq and is a predicted model, not a curated record.
UUCACGUAUUAUCAAAUGGUAUAGCUGUUUAGAAAAGUAAAGUUAAUUGUUGCGCAAAUGCUACCAUAAACCUUUGACUUUUGAAUAAAUCAAACUAAGCACAAGGCAACUAAGAUACGUGGUGACCAAGAACUCUUAUAUUGAUGUUCAGUUUAUUAUUGGUGAGGCAGUGAUGUAAAGCGCGUUGUGGUGUUUUUAAAUGGAUGAAUGUUGUGCUAACAGACGGGGGGAAACUCCAGGCCUUGCAGUCCUGAUCCUGUAUGAUGCAGAAGAUGUCAAUCCAACCGCACAUUGAUCUCUGCAGCGUGGUCGGUGGGAGGAGAUGUGGCCGAGCCGUUGAACCAGGCUCUAUCGGUACCCGAUGGCCUUGGCUGAUGGAGGAACUGCAUCUGGAGGACGACCAUGAAUCUACCUGCCAACAGACCAGGACUCUGUGAUGGAGGGGUGGUGAUGGAGCCGUGCUGAGGACCCGCUGGUGAAGGACGUCCCUCGGUGGGGGGGCAAGGACAGCCGACCCUGAGGAUCCGCUCGGAUCUACGAUCGCUACGAUGCGACUGCAGAGGUCUCUGGAAGACCAGGAGUCCUUGCCUGAGGAGAGCUGAUGGAGGAGCCGUGCACCUGGAGAACCAUGAGUCUGCCUGCCAACAAGUAGUACUGGAAGGCGGGGCAUAGGGAGGUGAUGGAGGACCUGCCUGGUGAAGGACAUCAGGGUGGGGCGAGUGACACCCGACUCCAAGGGGAUAUCCACUGAGGAGAGAGCUGAAGGAGCCAUGCAUCUGGAAGUUGAAAUGCUGUGUCCAGUCUGGGACACACACCUGAGCUGCGUCAAGCCUGUAUCUCUGACCAGCUGGAGUCCCUUAGUGAUCAACAACCGCCACUCAUCGCUGGCCUGUGGAUUCAUCUCCUUCACUCACACAACGUGACCUUGGCCUGUGGAUUCAUCUACUCCACACUCACACAACAGGACUUUGGCCUGUGGAUUCAUCUACUCCACACUCACACAACAGGACUUUGGCCUGUGGAUUCAUCUCCUCCACACUCACGCAACGUGACCUUCUCACCAUCUGUUGCACGUUUGGAUGCACCUAGCGUGUUCCAUCGAGGGUUCCUUCCUCCCCACGGUGGGAGGGUUCCUUGUCCUUCAAGGCGUCGGGGUUCAGUGUUAGGGACAGAGUUAGGGACAGAUGGCUGCGCUGGAUUCACAAUAUACGCUUUGUGAUCAAAAUGGGUUCGGACAUU